CGCCCCUGCCGGGGACGCAUCAUCGCCGUGGGGAUCCGCCGCCCGUCUGUGAAUCUUUUAGACGACUCUCGGCAACGGAUAUCUCGGCUCUCGCAUCGAUGAAGAACGUAGCGAAAUGCGAUACUUGGUGUGAAUUGCAGAAUCCCGUGAACCAUC
Molecule: ribosomal RNA, 156 nt
Filed under: Lindera benzoin (northern spicebush)
Lineage: Eukaryota; Viridiplantae; Streptophyta; Magnoliopsida; Laurales; Lauraceae
Description: 5.8S ribosomal RNA
Rfam family: 5.8S ribosomal RNA (bases 64-156)
About the family: 5.8S ribosomal RNA (5.8S rRNA) is a component of the large subunit of the eukaryotic ribosome. It is transcribed by RNA polymerase I as part of the 45S precursor that also contains 18S and 28S rRNA. Functionally, it is thought that 5.8S rRNA may be involved in ribosome translocation.
Source: RNAcentral